This 366-nucleotide ribosomal RNA is filed under the name Triticum aestivum (bread wheat). Its description in RNAcentral is "partial small subunit ribosomal RNA". The record is from RNAcentral. Lineage: Eukaryota; Viridiplantae; Streptophyta; Magnoliopsida; Poales; Poaceae.
AUGCUAUUUUAUCGGAAGGGCCAAGGACUUUCAAAGGCAGCUAGAGAGGUGCUUGUUAAGUCUGGGCUUCAGUCUACCCCGACGUAUCCCAUGAGCUGUUUUCAACUCCCAAAGAAAACGUGCCGGAACUUGACUUCGAUCUCUUCGAACUUCUGGUGGGGUGCAGCCAAUGGAGAUAGAAAGGUACACUGGAUUGCUUGGGACAAGCUGUGCACUACAAAACGUGAGGGCGGUAUGGGCUUCUGUAAUUUUGAAGUUUUUAACCAAGCACUGCUGGCCAAACAAGCUUGGCGGAUUUUGCGGAAUCCUUCAUCUUUGUGUGCGCGAGUGUUGAAAGCCAGAUAUUUCAGAGAUGGAUCCAUUAUG